GAUGAAGAACGCAGCGAAAUGCGAUAAGUAAUGUGAAUUGCAGAAUUCAGUGAAUCAUCGAAUCUUUGAACGCAUCUUGCGCUCCUUGGUAUUCUGAGGAGCAUGCCUGUUUGAGUGUCAUUAAAUUCUCAACUACACUGACUUUGAAUUGGUGUGGCUUGGAUUUGGGGGGAAAAUUGUUGUGGGCUUUUUGUAUAGUCUGCUCCCCUGAAAUUGAUUAGCGGUACCUUUGUGGAACUGUCUACAGGUGUGAUAAUUAUCUACAUCUUAGACAUCUGCUGGAAUGCUGCUUUCUAAACCUUACUUGAAUUGACAAUCUUGACCUCAAAUCAGGUAGGACUACCCGCUGAACUUAAGCAUAUCAAUAAGCGGAGGA
RNAcentral lists this unclassified non-coding RNA (376 nucleotides) under soil metagenome. RNAcentral describes it as "partial contains 5.8S ribosomal RNA, internal transcribed spacer 2, and large subunit ribosomal RNA". The stretch from base 1 to 120 matches the Rfam family "5.8S ribosomal RNA", at positions 35 to 154 of the family's 154-position model. The record is from RNAcentral.